RNAcentral lists this transfer RNA (73 nucleotides) under Gemmatimonadota bacterium. Its description in RNAcentral is "Gemmatimonadetes bacterium tRNA-Pro". It matches the Rfam family "tRNA". Rfam says of the family: Transfer RNA (tRNA) molecules are approximately 80 nucleotides in length. Their secondary structure includes four short double-helical elements and three loops (D, anti-codon, and T loops). The record is from RNAcentral. RNAcentral also lists the same sequence under 2 other names. Lineage: Bacteria; Pseudomonadati; Gemmatimonadota.
CGAGCAGUGGCGCAGCCGGUAGCGCACGUGGUUCGGGACCACGGGGCCGCGGGUUCGAAUCCCGCCUGCUCGA